Molecule: ribosomal RNA, 253 nt
Filed under: uncultured bacterium
Lineage: Bacteria
Description: partial 16S ribosomal RNA
Rfam family: Bacterial small subunit ribosomal RNA
Source: RNAcentral
UACGAAGGGGGCUAGCGUUGUUCGGAUUUACUGGGCGUAAAGCGCACGUAGGCGGAUCGUUAAGUCGGGGGUGAAAUCCUGGAGCUCAACUCCAGAACUGCCUUCGAUACUGGCGAUCUUGAGUCCGGAAGAGGUGAGUGGAACUCCUAGUGUAGAGGUGGAAUUCGUAGAUAUUAGGAAGAACACCAGCGGCGAAGGCGGCUCACUGGUCCGGUACUGACGCUGAGGUGCGAAAGCGUGGGGAGCAAACAGG